Molecule: long non-coding RNA, 826 nt
Filed under: Homo sapiens (human)
Lineage: Eukaryota; Metazoa; Chordata; Mammalia; Primates; Hominidae
Description: non-protein coding lnc-DRD5-10:12
Source: RNAcentral
GGGUGAGAAACGGAGGCCUUCAGCCAACAGCUGGGAGAAGCUGAGUCCCAUCAGCCAUUCAAAAGACUGCAGCCCCAGCCAAGAGUUUGAUGUAACCUCAGGAGAGACCCUGAGCCAGAACCACCUAGGCCAACGAGCUAUACCUAGUGAUUCCAAAGUCCACAUAUAUUUACUCUGUUCUCACUGUACAAAGUAACCACUCUGAAGUCAAAAAAGCUGGGAUACAUGAAGACUGCCAUCCCUUGAGUCACUUGCCCUGUAGCUGCCACUGUUGGAAAAGGGCUUGCUUCUGUGUCCUUGUGCCCACUUUGAAAAUCCCUGGGAAGUCCUUGGAGUCAGAUGAGCAGGCCUCCGCCACUCUGCCAAAAAGUCUGUUCAGAAGUUUCACAUCACUAGAGAAGAGAGAAGAAGGACAUUUGUACUGGGAGGAGUCGACCGGUCCCAGUAAGGAGAAAGUAGCUACAGCGUCAUGGGUGAGCUGGGUCCCCCAAAAAGGAACUUUAAGGGAAUGGACUGAAUCAAGUCUGAGAUGUCCCCAAAGCAAGACCAAAGAACUGAGGAAGAGAAGCAUUCAUCAGAAACCAAAAUUCAGCUACAAGUGAGCAUCCAGAUGGAGGUAUUAUGAAGAGGAACUGAGACUGAGGGCAAAAGGUGCCAGCCAGAAUCCUGGAUAGGAGAGCAAGAACCAGGACCUCAUUUAAGAGACAACCUGCUUAAGGCAGAGUAAGCACAAAUGGGCACUCAACAUCAAUGAAGUAACAGCAAAGUCACAUAAUAAAAGCAUGGAAUUAAGACAAGCUGAAGAUUCGGAUGCAAUAAAACAACC